GACGAACGCUGGCGGCGUGCCUAAUACAUGCAAGUCGAGCGGACUUAAAAAGCUUGCUUUUUAAGUUAGCGGCGGACGGGUGAGUAACACGUGGGCAACCUGCUUGUAAGACUGGGAUAACUUCGGGAAACCGGAGCUAAUACCGGAUAAUCCUUUUCUACUCAUGUAGAAAAGCUGAAAGGCGGUUUACGCUGUCACUUACAGAUGGGCCCGCGGCGCAUUAGCUAGUUGGUGAGGUAACGGCUCACCAAGGCGACGAUGCGUAGCCGACCUGAGAGGGUGAUCGGCCACACUGGGACUGAGACACGGCCCAGACUCCUACGGGAGGCAGCAGUAGGGAAUCUUCCGCAAUGGACGAAAGUCUGACGGAGCAACGCCGCGUGAGUGAUGAAGGUUUUCGGAUCGUAAAACUCUGUUGUUAGGGAAGAACAAGUACGAGAGUAACUGCUCGUACCUUGACGGUACCUAACCGGAAAGCCACGGCUAACUACGUG
RNAcentral lists this ribosomal RNA (494 nucleotides) under uncultured bacterium. RNAcentral describes it as "partial 16S ribosomal RNA". It matches the Rfam family "Bacterial small subunit ribosomal RNA", at positions 28 to 507 of the family's 1533-position model. The record is from RNAcentral.